RNAcentral lists this long non-coding RNA (316 nucleotides) under Mytilus galloprovincialis (Mediterranean mussel). The record is from RNAcentral. Lineage: Eukaryota; Metazoa; Mollusca; Bivalvia; Mytilida; Mytilidae.
GUAGUGAAGAAAAAAGUUAUAUGUACCUCUAAAAAGUUCAAAUACAAUGGUUUCCGUUCUAGAAUAUCAGUCAAAUAGCCCUAACAAAAAAAAAAUGUUCGCUCAAAUAUCCGAUGCCCUCUAAAAUGUGGAUAAUUUCUUAAAACAAAGGAGCAGUGAAGCUGUUUCACACUAGAAUAAAAAAGUAUUUCAAUCUUUUCUUAAAUUCAUAGUAUCAUAGAACUGUAUGUACUUUUUUUUGUUUGUUUUAGCAACAGUUUGAUUGAAUAAUUUAAAUCAAUCAACAAAUUAUGAACUCUGGAAAAAAGCCUGAAAC